GCGUCAGUCAAACACCGGCCCUCUUUCUCCCAAUCCCCGCAGCCGUCGCGCCCGGCACACCUCCCUUCUCCACUCCCCCCCGCACCCCACCCUUCCCAGCCGAGCUUGUUCCUCUAGCCACCCACUCGUCUGCUCCUCCUCCUCCUCCUCUCUCUCUUCUAGCUUCCUCCUCCUUCCUGAUCUCUACGUCGGCCGGACCACGAGAGGAGCGGCGGUGGCGGAGACGCUCCGGUGGCGGCAUCGAGUUGCGAACCCCAGGAACCAGGUCUGGGGGUUCGGUUCCAAGGCGCGGACGGCUUCUCCGCCUAUGACACCGAGGGCAAGUGUACACCCCAGUCCCCUCCUCCUGCGCAAACCCUACGAGAGAGAGAGAGAGAGAGGAAGAUGAGAGGGAGGGAGAGAGAAUGACCGGCGUCAGCCUGCACCAGCAAGGACGGGCGCGACGUGGAGGUUGGCCGCUGCUCGAUCUGCUCUUGGAUCGGGAGCUUCGACGAAGCUGGGGUUCGGGCGCAUUGCACCGGAGGCUGCACUCCACCUCUUGCUUGUGGUGCGGUGGACAGCAACUCUUGCGGUCGUGCGGCUGACGGCGGCCUCAGCGGGUGGUCAACGACACUUGCAGCUGGUGCUCUACCCAUGGAUUCCGGCACAGCCCGAAAUACUCAGAUAUUUGACUGCAUUACUGAAUGUUCUAGGGUUGGAGCAGCAGCUGAGCUUAGGGCAAGACAAGCACAUUAGUUGAAUCCUGAACUUAUAGGAUGGUUUCCCCUGCCACAACCAUUGUCAUCGGCCUGCAUUCCCUUGUCAAGCGUGCAUCGGUGCUGGAUAUGCAAGCUGCAACAGUGCAUCAACGGGCAGGCAAGAGCAAGACGAUGGUCAUGAUUUUUGGUUUGAAGUUGCUUUUAUGAACUCCAAGCAGUGGAAGACAAUGUUAACUGAAGCCACUUUUGUUGGUCAUGGAUUUACAAGAAAGCCAGUAGAGUAUGAAAAGGUUCUCAUGGGACUCACCCUGAACUGAAAUCUAUCUUCAACCUUGGUAUAUCUCUAUAGAAAAACCCAAGUGGAAGCCACUUUUGUUGGUCAUGGAUUUACAAGAAAGCCAGUAGAGUAUGAAAAGGUUCUCAUGGGACUCACCCUGAACUGAAAUCUAUCUUCAACCUUGCUUAAACUGAAAGCAAUGCAUGGUAUUGUUCAAUUCGAAGUGUACUUGACGUGUGCAGAUCUGAGGAUGAAGGGAAGAAGACAGAAUUUAGCUGAAGAGUUGAAUAAGAUCAAGUUCCUGGUGAUCUCCGACGUUUGUCAGCUAAUGCCACCAUGAGGGUGCUGGGCUGCUGAUGGCAUGCUACCUGCUUUGAAUAAAAGGAAUGAAAGGAAGCAUUUGUUCAUAGAACAAAUAUAUUCAUUGUCUGUUAAGAUAAAUAUCCCUAUCCUCUGUUUGUUUCUUGAUUAUUCUCUGUGAACUUUUGUUCUAUGUGCAGACAAGUUUCCUCCAUAUUAUGUCAACAUCCCAUGGUGAUGUAUGUGAAAGAUUGAAAGUGCGGUACUACAUAAAGACGCGCUGCAAAUAUUGUUGCAUAAUCACAACUUUCAUAACAUUAACUUCCAUUGUCUGUUAAUAAUUAAUUAUCUCGGGUAAAAUCUAUUUUUCUACCUGAUUGAUGUGGUUAGUUUGAUUUAUAGUAGAAUAUCAACAUUCUCCUUUAUGAUGGUUGAUGGGCAGUGUGUUUCGUCCAAGUGAUAUGUUUCCUGUAUUGUUAGAGAUGUCUAUUUGGCUUAUGAUCGUACUGUUGAGCACAUCUUACCCUUGUGCUGAAGAUAAAUGGUACUAAUCAAUCUGCCAAAGCUUUGUGAUGUGAAAGUGCAUUUGGUAGGAAGGGUUCUGCAGAUAACCCCUUUAGAUUCUGUCCCUUCAAGAUUUUUUUGUAUCAAGCCAUAAAUUUAAACAGGAAUCCUUCAGUGGCUAUUUUGUUUAUCCACACACUUUCUAAUGUCUGGUCCUCUUAAAUUAGGAUAAGCUUUUUACUGUCUUUGUUUUUUGAUUAUCAUCAACAAUACUGGUUCUGUUGUCCCUUAGGCUGUCAAUGCUGAUGCUAUUUCAAUGCUGAGAAGCAAACUCGGAAAUCAGCUCGCUAACAAGAGUCGGAAUUCGAAUCUGAGGCAACUUUCACAUUCCCCAAUUUGUCUAUUGAACCCAUGAUCUCUCUUUCUUUUGCAUUAUUUUCCAUUCAUUAUCUAAGAUAUAAUUUCGACUUCACUGCACCGUGUUGUCUGGUUUAUAAUGCCGGUUGAGCUCAUUUCUAAUUGUUCAUAACUACUUAAUUUUUUUGUUGUGAUUUUGCAAGAUAUUGAAAUUAUUGUAUUUCAAAAUUGUUUUACUGAUUCUCGAUGCUCUGUUCACGGCUUUUUUCUUAUUUUAUCCUUCUUUGCUUUUUUCCUUUCCUGCAAGACGAUGUCGAGUCAUGUAAUAUGUUCAAAGAAGAGAGAAUCUGCAUUUUAUGAAUCCUUUCUUCUUUCUUCAUUGUUACUUCAAGUUAGUGAAUUCAUUUAAGUUGUAUUGAUCAGCUUCAUGUGCAUGGUUUCUUCAUCUACACAUCUUAUUCAGUCACGAGGCGAGUAAGAUCUUUUGCCUUUUAGAAAAAGGGAGAUGCCAUUUAGACCUUACUCUUCCAACUUGAUCUUUAACUUGCUACUACUGUUUCUGAGCAUUUUCCCAAGCAUUUUUUAUUUGCUUCAGAGAAUGAGCUCACCUCAUUCAGUGGAUGUGCCAAGUAAAAAAAUUAGAAACUGAGCAAUUAGUUCCACUCUUGAAUUUUGUACAGCGGUCCAAAUUAUCCAAUAAAUCAUUUGUUAGCAGGGUCAAAUUAUAGAAGUUGAAUCAGUUGUUCCAAAUUACAAUGUGUGACUUAUUCCAUUUGUUUAUCCUUUUGUCCUUUUAAUCAAGAACACUAUUUAGAGCUUACAUGGUUGUCCAAAUUUAGUUCUGUAAAAGAGGAAUAUUGAUAUCAUGCAAUGAUCAGUGCAGAUUAGAAUAGUUAUAGAGUUAUUCCUCAGUUUUCAUUGAGCAAAGAUUGAAUCUGUAUGAUUUUUUCUAAUACCAAGUAAAUCUUGGUCUGCAUUUUGUUAGUUUUCCUACUGAGUUUUUUUGGCUAUUUUCGUUUAAAUUGGUAGUUGAUGUGAAAAAGUGUGUGUUGACAUGGAUGUAACCAAAUCAUGUAUUAAUGUGAGGUACUACAUAGACUUGCCUAUCUCUUUCCAUAAGCACAACCCUCUUGAUCCAACUAGGAACAUCAAAACCAAAUGGGAAAUCAUUGAGUGGACUUCAGAUGGCCAUGCUGUGAGUACACCAUUAGUAUCUGAAUCUACUUUGUAUAAUUAAGACACACUUUCUACAUAUCGCUGCUAUAUUGAUACCAUGUGAUCACUUAACAUGAGUGUGACUAGCCUAUUUUCUUGCCUAACUGUGUGAUUGCAUGUAGUAAUGCAUGGCUUCUCUAUUUAAAUGAAGAGUUGUGUUUAUCAUAAUAAUUAUGUACCACAGACUUGUUUCUUUCUGUUUAUAUAAUAAUGCAGUUCGUCUUCUACCAUAUGUUUUCUUUGUUACAUGUCUUCUAAUUGUUCAUCUUUUUUUCUCUUUCGACGACAAAAUAACUUCGCGUUUCGAAAUAUUUAGUACGCCAUCAUGGUCUUUCUUAAGGGUGUUCAGGCCUUUUGGUCUUCUAUUCAUGCUGCGAACCCCAAUAUGGCAUCUCGCCGUUCCCCAUGAUCCACAUGGCAAAUAAAUAGAAGGCAUAUGUAUUGUUUUGAGUGAAGCCAUCCAUAUCCCAUAUGUGGAAUUCAAGAUAUAGAGAAAUGCUAAUUGGUUGCUUGACCAAAUGUACUAUAAAUGAUGUUAUUAUUGUACCAGAUAUAGAGAAAUGUUAUUGUUCUUCAAUUAUUGAGAUGAUAUAAGUACUACUUAGCAGUUUUGUCUCUUAACCGAACAAAGCUCUCGAGGAAGAAGGGAUAAAUAAGUGCUGAGCAAAAAGGGCUAAACAAGUCGCCCGAUUCACGGGCCGAACUGGCUGCACAACUGCUUCACUGAUUUGAAAUAUACAUGCGUCUGAGUGGCACAUAAGUACUCUCUUUUUUCAAACACACAAAAACAAAGCUGAUAGAAACAACUACUCUUUCUAAAAUAGCAUAAUUAUACAUAUGUUCUUAGGCAAGAAGAUAUGUACUCUUAUAGAAGGGUCUAAAUUCUUACCCCGCGUACUUGCUCAAACAAAAGAUUCUGGAAAAAUACAUAUUUUCAAUGUGACAUUGUUUUGAAUGAGACUCCACGCUACCAAAGUAAAUUGUGCAUGUAUAUCUUAUUGUAGA
Molecule: RNA transcript, 4356 nt
Organism: Triticum aestivum (bread wheat)
Lineage: Eukaryota; Viridiplantae; Streptophyta; Magnoliopsida; Poales; Poaceae
Exons: 7
Source: RefSeq, a predicted model, not a curated record